UGGAAUCCAUGAUGUCAACAAUACUGUCCAUAUUGUGGAGCAGCUAAGACUUUCCAAAGAUACUGAAGCUGCCCUGGUGUUCUGCUCUCUCCUUGUCUGGUCCAGCUCCAGCUCACGGCCGUUCCAAUGUGCAGGUGUUUGAACUGCAUGAACUGCACCUAACUCCACUUAGGUGUGGAUUUUCGUCUCUCUGCCUGCUCUGAGACAGCAAGAACAACCCUUCUUCUUCUCCCUACUCCUCCUCAUCCCACUCAACAUGAAGACAAUGAGGAUGAAGACUUUCGUGAUGAUCCACUUCCACUUAAUUAGUACCAUUACUUGCAAGAGCAACAAGCACUGGACUGUAUACUGUCUUAGGAGGGCAGUGGUGUCUUCCUCCGUUCCACUCUCACGCAACACCCACGCUGCCCUGAGCCACACGUGGGGAGCAGGCUUUCAGGCUUUUGUUGAGGCAGAGUAAUAUGAGGCUGUAACUGAAGGACUUUUUGGCAUAAGUAGGAACUUUCUAUUAAAAGUAAUGUCUCAAAUAGAA
Molecule: non-coding RNA, 532 nt
Organism: Microcebus murinus (gray mouse lemur)
Lineage: Eukaryota; Metazoa; Chordata; Mammalia; Primates; Cheirogaleidae
Source: RefSeq, a predicted model, not a curated record